RNAcentral lists this transfer RNA (74 nucleotides) under Bacteroidetes bacterium RIFOXYC12_FULL_35_7. RNAcentral describes it as "tRNA-Arg". It matches the Rfam family "tRNA". From Rfam's summary of the family: Transfer RNA (tRNA) molecules are approximately 80 nucleotides in length. Their secondary structure includes four short double-helical elements and three loops (D, anti-codon, and T loops). Further hydrogen bonds mediate the characteristic L-shaped molecular structure. tRNAs have two regions of fundamental functional importance: the anti-codon, which is responsible for specific mRNA codon recognition, and the 3' end, to which the tRNAs corresponding amino acid is attached (by aminoacyl-tRNA synthetases). tRNAs cope with the degeneracy of the genetic code in two manners: having more than one tRNA (with a specific anti-codon) for a particular amino acid; and 'wobble' base-pairing, i.e. permitting non-standard base-pairing at the 3rd anti-codon position. Lineage: Bacteria; Pseudomonadati; Bacteroidota. RNAcentral also lists the same sequence under 3 other names. The record is from RNAcentral.
GCACCAUUAGCUCAGUUGGAUAGAGCAACGGAUUUCUAAUCCGUAGGUCAGUGGUUCGAGCCCACUAUGGUGUA